AGACCCGAAACCCGGUGAUCUAGCCAUGGGCAGGUUGAAGGUUGGGUAACACUAACUGGAGGACCGAACCGACUAAUGUUGAAAAAUUAGCGGAUGACCUGUGGCUGGGGGUGAAAGGCCAAUCAAACCGGGAGAUAGCUGGUUCUCCCCGAAAGCUAUUUAGGUAGCGCCUCGUGAAUUCAUCUCCGGGGGUAGAGCACUGUUUCGGCUAGGGGGCCAUCCCGGCUUACCAACCCGAUGCAAACUGCGAAUACCGGAGAAUGUUAUCACGGGAGACACACGGCGGGUGCUAACGUCCGUCGUGAAGAGGGAAACAACCCAGACCGCCAGCUAAGGUCCCAAAGUCAUGGUUAAGUGGGAAACGAUGUGGGAAGGCCCAGACAGCCAGGAUGUUGGCUUAGAAGCAGCCAUCAUUUAAAGAAAGCGUAAUAGCUCACUGGUCGAGUCGGCCUGCGCGGAAGAUGUAACGGGGCUAAACCAUGCACCGAAGCUGCGGCAGCGAACGUAUCACCCAAGACAACUUUACGGAGUUGACGAUUGACGGAGCGAAGCGACGUCAAAGCGUUCAUUAAAGUCGAGUUGGCUUAGGGAUACGUUCGUUGGGUAGGGGAGCGUUCUGUAAGCCUGUGAAGGUGUGUCGUGAGGCA
This 647-nucleotide ribosomal RNA is filed under the name Salmonella enterica subsp. enterica serovar Heidelberg. Its description in RNAcentral is "partial 23S ribosomal RNA". It matches the Rfam family "Bacterial large subunit ribosomal RNA", at positions 711 to 1270 of the family's 2925-position model. Lineage: Bacteria; Pseudomonadati; Pseudomonadota; Gammaproteobacteria; Enterobacterales; Enterobacteriaceae. The record is from RNAcentral. RNAcentral also lists the same sequence under 4 other names.